CUUGAGCUGCUCGGUUUUUUCCAUUUCUUUUUGAUUUAGAAACUAUUUUCCUAUGCUGAUGUGUUGGUUUCUUUCCAAAUCUUUGUUAACUUUUAAAGUACUGUUUUGCUUGGUUUUAUUCUUUGAGGAUGCUUUUUUUUUGUGUUUUUUCCUUCCAGAUGAGCAUGAUGGGCCAUUUAAGGCGGCUGGUUUCCGUUUCUCUUGUCAGUGUGCUUUCGUCCUUUUCUUUUCUUCUAGCAUUUCCACCUAAAAAAAAUCAUUUUUGUUUUACUUUUAGAGACAAAAUAUUUUAUUUCAUUUAUUUUUUUACGGAAGCCUUUUAGCGUCGUGCUUAUUUACUUUUUACAAUUUGAUAUAACAAAUUAUCUGUUUAAUUG
This 377-nucleotide long non-coding RNA is filed under the name Mytilus galloprovincialis (Mediterranean mussel). The record is from RNAcentral. Lineage: Eukaryota; Metazoa; Mollusca; Bivalvia; Mytilida; Mytilidae.